This is a long non-coding RNA of Eriocheir sinensis (Chinese mitten crab), 1082 nucleotides long. RefSeq lists it as uncharacterized. The transcript is spliced from 3 exons. The record is from RefSeq and is a predicted model, not a curated record. Lineage: Eukaryota; Metazoa; Arthropoda; Malacostraca; Decapoda; Varunidae.
UUGUCCAACCCCACCCCAACAAGAACCACCAAUAAUAUUCACGAAUCAUGUGCGAUUGAAAGUAAUGUUAAAAAUAUGAUAAUAUAUCAAUAUGUUUAAGUGCAAACGAAAAAUAGUGUACAUCAUCGUAAGGAAGAGAUUAAGGUGUUUAUUAGAGUGCGCGUUCGGGCUCCCUUAACCCCGUUGACACUGGUGAGUUAUGGGUCUGUUUAGUGUUUACAUUGUUCACCCGCACCGGGACGUCCAUCACCCCUUCAAGGUUUACAUCAUUUUCACAUGGCAUUUGCGGCAUAUCUGGAACUCCUCGAUCUUGUGGGUCAAGUUGAGGAGGUGAGGCUUCCCAGAGUUGUUCCCAGAGACCGGCAAAACCCAUUCACCUGUCUCUCUGAGGAGGACUUCAUAGAUCGCUACCGUCUCUCACCAGCUUGCACACUCCAACUGCUUGAGAAUGUACAGCCCCAACUACCCAGAGCACGAGAUGGCAGAGGCUGCAGUGUUCCUGGUCACCUGCAGCUUCUUGUAGCAUUACGCUACUUUGCCAGCGGGAACUUCCAGUUAACCAUGGCAGACUGUUUGGAGAUGUCUGCUUCUUCAGUCUGCAAAUUUGUUCACCGCAUAGCUGUUAUACUAGCACGCAUGUCACCUAAUUACAUCAAGUUUCCUGAACCUGCCAAUACACGUCAGGUAGCAGAGGACUUUCAUGCUGUCGCUGGCAUGCCUGGUGUCAUCAGCUGUAUUGAUGGAACAUUGAUUCCAAUUGUGAGUCCUGGCGGAGACACUGCAGAAUUAUACCGCUGUAGGAAGGGUUACCUCGCCCUAAAUGUCAUGGCAGUUUGCGAUGAAAAAAUGCGUUUCACUAAUGUCAUUAGUAGUUGGCCAGGAAGUGUCCAUGACAGCCGCAUUUUUGAUAAUUCUAGGCUUUGUCAGAAAUUAGAAUAUGAAGGUUACUCAGGUUAUCUUUUGGGAGAUUCAGGGUACGCAUGCAAGUCUUACUUGUUGACUCCGGCACUGGAUCCCCAAACUGAACAAGAAAACAGAUAUAAUGCAUCACAUAUACGCACACGCAACACUGGAGGAAUCUG